Molecule: ribosomal RNA, 1399 nt
Filed under: uncultured Bacteroidota bacterium
Lineage: Bacteria; Pseudomonadati; Bacteroidota
Description: uncultured Bacteroidetes bacterium 16S ribosomal RNA
Rfam family: Bacterial small subunit ribosomal RNA
Source: RNAcentral
GGCGACCGGCGCACGGGUGAGUAACGCGUAUGCAACCUACCUUAUACUGGGGGAUAGCCCAGAGAAAUCUGGAUUAAUACCGCAUAACAAUGUAUUAUCGCAUGGUGAUAUAUUUAAAACUCCGGUGGUAUAAGAUGGGCAUGCGUAGCAUUAGUUAGUUGGUGAGGUAACGGCUCACCAAGACGAUGAUGCUUAGGGGGUCUGAGAGGAUAGUCCCCCACACUGGUACUGAGACACGGACCAGACUCCUACGGGAGGCAGCAGUGAGGAAUAUUGGUCAAUGGACGCAAGUCUGAACCAGCCAUGUCGCGUGCAGGAUGACGGCCCUAUGGGUUGUAAACUGCUUUUUUACAGGAAUAAUUGUCUUUACGUGUAGAGAUUUGAAUGUACUGUAUGAAUAAGGAUCGGCUAACUCCGUGCCAGCAGCCGCGGUAAUACGGAGGAUUCGAGCGUUAUCCGGAUUUAUUGGGUUUAAAGGGUCCGUAGGCGGUUCUUUAAGUCAGUGGUGAAUCCCAGAGCUCAACUCUGGAACUGCCAUUGAAACUGAAGAACUUGAAUAUGGUUGAGGUAGGCGGAAUACGUUAUGUAGCGGUGAAAUGCAUAGAUAUAACGUAGAACACCAAUUGCGAAGGCAGCUUACUAAACCAUUAUUGACGCUGAUGGACGAAAGCGUGGGGAGCGAACAGGAUUAGAUACCCUGGUAGUCCACGCCGUAAACGAUGAUUACUCGUUGUGCACAAUACACCGUGCGUGACCGAGCGAAAGCAUUAAGUAAUCCACCUGGGGAGUACGUUCGCAAGAAUGAAACUCAAAGGAAUUGACGGGGGCCCGCACAAGCGGAGGAACAUGUGGUUUAAUUCGAUGAUACGCGAGGAACCUUACCUGGACUUAAAUGUAGAUUGAUCGGUUUAGAAAUAGACUUUGCCUUCGGGACAAUUGACAAGGUGCUGCAUGGUUGUCGUCAGCUCGUGCCGUGAGGUGUCGGGUUAAGUCCCAUAACGAGCGCAACCCCUAUCGUUAGUUGCUAGCAGGUAAUGCUGAGGACUCUAGCGAGACUGCCACCGUAAGGUGUGAGGAAGGUGGGGAUGACGUCAAAUCAGCACGGCCCUUACGUCCAGGGCUACACACGUGUUACAAUGGCCAGUACAAAGGGCAGCUACCAGGCGACUGGAUGCUAAUCUCAAAAGCUGGUCUCAGUUCGGAUCGGAGUCUGCAACUCGACUCCGUGAAGUUGGAUUCGCUAGUAAUCGUAGAUCAGCAAUGCUACGGUGAAUACGUUCCCGGGCCUUGUACACACCGCCCGUCAAGCCAUGGAAGCCGAGGGUGCCUGAAGUACGUUACCGCAAGGAGCGUCCUAGGGUAAAAUUGGUAACUAGGGCUAAGUCGUAACAAGGUAACC